CCUGGUAUGCCUACGACACAACAUUUCCUGCUUCCUGCUGAAUUGAAACUAGUGAAUGGAUAUGCACUUUGGAAUGACAAUUCACUCUUCCUCGGCGAGGGGCGGACCUUGAAGCACACCUCAAGAUUUCUGGACAAAAGGAAGCUGCUGAAAAGAAGAGUUAACGGGAAAGGCCGUCGUGACGUGGAGGUUUUCACAGCUUGCUGCGAGAUUUGUUCUUCCAUGAUGCAAACGAACUAGACCGGACAUGGCUUGAAGCUAGCUAGCUGCUAAGCUAACAAAGCUAGCACGGAGAAAGGCAGGGCCGGUCUGAAGGAAGCUACUCCCGGGCACACCGGGACCACCACUUCCCCGAAGACAGCUGUCACUCCAUUCAGCGACAUAAAGUUCUGUGAGUAUGGCUUCCUGCGCU
Nerophis ophidion (straightnose pipefish) is the source of this 412-nucleotide long non-coding RNA. RefSeq lists it as uncharacterized. The transcript is spliced from 4 exons. NCBI's taxonomy places the organism in Eukaryota, Metazoa, Chordata, Actinopteri, Syngnathiformes, Syngnathidae. The record is from RefSeq and is a predicted model, not a curated record.